AGAGUAAUAGUUUAAUUAAAACAAUAAGUUGCAAACUUAUAAUUGGCAAUUGCCUUACUCAU
RNAcentral lists this transfer RNA (62 nucleotides) under Elysia cornigera. RNAcentral's name for it is "tRNA-Cys". Lineage: Eukaryota; Metazoa; Mollusca; Gastropoda; Plakobranchidae. The record is from RNAcentral.